RNAcentral lists this non-coding RNA (26 nucleotides) under Cricetulus griseus (Chinese hamster). Lineage: Eukaryota; Metazoa; Chordata; Mammalia; Rodentia; Cricetidae. The record is from RNAcentral.
AAUGACGGAUUAGAUAAGGAAUGCGG